UUCCUGGUUAAUAGUUUUCACCUGCCGAAGCCUGACACAGCGACUAUAAAACAAUUGUGGAGUCUUGACAAUAAGCAAGACGACGCCGCUGAAAUGCUGUCAUCAACGAUUGUUGCACCAGCAGCCAGAUUCGGUCUUUUUGACCGACAACUGGCUCACAGAUCAAGGCGCGGUGGUUUCGGUCGAGUGUCGAAACUUUGAUAUGACCGGUCCCCAACUGUGAUGGUUGAGAGUCCACGUUCCGUAGGUGAACCUGCGGAAGGAUCAUUACCGAGUCAGGGUCUUUCAGGCCCGAAACUCCAACCCUAUGUCUAUCUACCAUGUUGCUUUGGCGGGCCCGUCUUAAAAUUGACCGUGGAGGCUUGUCUUCUCGCCAGUGCCCGUCAGUAGCCCUUUCAAAUUCGUUAUAAUGGUGAUGUCUAAGUUUAAAUUUAAUCGUUAAAACUUUCAACAACGGAUCUCUUGGUUCUG
Molecule: unclassified non-coding RNA, 471 nt
Filed under: rhizosphere metagenome
Description: partial ribosomal RNA internal transcribed spacer region
Source: RNAcentral